This 324-nucleotide ribosomal RNA is filed under the name uncultured bacterium. Its description in RNAcentral is "bacterial SSU rRNA". It matches the Rfam family "Bacterial small subunit ribosomal RNA", at positions 28 to 334 of the family's 1533-position model. The record is from RNAcentral.
GACGAACGCUGGCGGCGUGCCUAAUACAUGCAAGUCGAACGCUUCUUUCUUAUCGAACUUCGGUUCACCGAGAAAGAGGAGUGGCGGACGGGUGAGUAACACGUGGGUAACCUGCCCUUUAGCGGGGGAUAACACUUGGAAACAGGUGCUAAUACCGCAUAAUCUUUUUUCUCGCAUGAGAGAAAAGUGAAAGACGCUUUUGCGUCACUAGAGGAUGGACCCGCGCUGCAUUAGCUAGUUGGUGAGGUAAUGGCUCACCAAGGCCACGAUGCAUAGCCGACCUGAGAGGGUGAUCGGCCACACUGGGACUGAGACACGGCCCAG